Molecule: small nucleolar RNA, 104 nt
Filed under: Meriones unguiculatus (Mongolian gerbil)
Lineage: Eukaryota; Metazoa; Chordata; Mammalia; Rodentia; Muridae
Description: Small nucleolar RNA SNORD124 (ENSMUGG00000003272.1)
Rfam family: Small nucleolar RNA SNORD124
Source: RNAcentral
GGAUUCCAAGGAAGGGAUGAUGUUCUUAGUAAGACCCAAGAAAAGGAUUCUGAGCCUCAGAGCUUUGAAGGAACCACUUGGUCCCUGACCUUCCUCCAGGAAAU